RNAcentral lists this transfer RNA (87 nucleotides) under Candidatus Amesbacteria bacterium RBG_16_48_31. Its description in RNAcentral is "tRNA-Leu". It matches the Rfam family "tRNA". From Rfam's summary of the family: Transfer RNA (tRNA) molecules are approximately 80 nucleotides in length. Their secondary structure includes four short double-helical elements and three loops (D, anti-codon, and T loops). Further hydrogen bonds mediate the characteristic L-shaped molecular structure. tRNAs have two regions of fundamental functional importance: the anti-codon, which is responsible for specific mRNA codon recognition, and the 3' end, to which the tRNAs corresponding amino acid is attached (by aminoacyl-tRNA synthetases). tRNAs cope with the degeneracy of the genetic code in two manners: having more than one tRNA (with a specific anti-codon) for a particular amino acid; and 'wobble' base-pairing, i.e. permitting non-standard base-pairing at the 3rd anti-codon position. Lineage: Bacteria; Candidatus Amesiibacteriota. The record is from RNAcentral.
GGGCAAGUGGCGGAACUGGCAGACGCGCAGGCUUCAGGAGCCUGUUCCCGCAAGGGAGUGGAGGUUCAAGUCCUCUCUCGCCCACCA